This 74-nucleotide transfer RNA is filed under the name Sphaerodactylus townsendi. RNAcentral's name for it is "tRNA-Ser". Lineage: Eukaryota; Metazoa; Chordata; Lepidosauria; Squamata; Sphaerodactylidae. The record is from RNAcentral.
GCUUCUGUAGUAUAGUGGUUUGAGUGUUUGCCUGCUGGAUCAAAGGGUUGCUGGUUCAAUUCUAGCCAGGAAAA